GCCGAAGGGAAGGUUCCCUCAGGUGUUCCAGGGCCUGGUAGAGCUGUUGGUUGUCCUUCUCCCACACAACCUCUGCUUAAGCUGGUUGCCCUGAGCCACUUUAUAAGCUGUGCUGCUGGAGCCCUUGCUGCUCAACCUUCCUUCCUUGUGUUGCUUCUGCUCUCGGCAAAGUAUUUUUAAAAGUCUCCAGGUAGGGAGAAAGCUCAGCACAGGUGGGCCUUUGGAAGCAUGGCUCUGAGUACUGCCUGCUCUCCUUACGUUAAUUUUCCUCAGGUUUUUUAAUGUUCUAUCACAAGAGGCUGUCCAGCUGGAAGGUGCUUGGAACCAGAUUUUAGGAUGUUGUGUUUCAGUAGUGUUAAUAGUUAAUUAUACAAAGCUAAAGGAAUUGUGCUGUGAUGAGAUGAUGCUUAAAUUGUUUACAUGUAUGUUUGUGGUUUCACACCAGUAGUUAAUACUUUGUACCCUGGGUAGCUCGCAAAAUAAAAUGCCUGAUAACAGCAGAAUGCCAAGAUGUAGUAACCCCUUGGAGGCAAAAUUUAGGGCAAUACAAUUGCAUAACUAAGGCUGACCCUCAGGGAGUGAUCUCUAUAUAUUGUGAAGUUUUAAGUAGGCCAGGUGAUGUCUUCAAAAAACUAUGUGAAGGGUAAAGUAAAAUAGUGAGUAGAGAUGGGUUGACUGCACAUUCCCUUUGCUGUUUUUGCUCUUCUUUCUGUGCUCACUGUGCUGAAUGUGUUUAUUUUGGAGCACCAUGACACAGCGCAUAACACUGUGACAAAUGAAGUGCUGAUGUGAAAAUAAUAAUUGCAUAUAAAAUAUGGUCGUACUUAUGUUGCCAAAGAGAAGAUUCAGAACCACGUUGAUGUUGUUUUUCAGGCAUUUGCUGUUUGGCUCACAAUAGCUCCGCACUUUGCCAGGGAAAUGCAAAUCAAUCCUGCCAAGUUCAAGCUUCUGUUGGAAAAGGAACUGCCUUGUCAUUGUUGCCCUGUUUAUGGGAGUCUGAGCUGGUCUAAGGCUAGCAAAGGAUACCUGAACAGUUUCUGGAGAAACCUGGAAUCUUGAAAUUCAGUACUGGUCCGAAAACGCUAAGAGGAAUGGGGAAUCUCUUAAAUGGAAGGCUGCUCGGGAAACUAAAUAAAUAAAGGGUGACCAUGAAGUUCA
RNAcentral lists this long non-coding RNA (1158 nucleotides) under Calidris pygmaea (Spoon-billed sandpiper). RNAcentral describes it as "lncRNA (ENSCPGG00000000051.1)". Lineage: Eukaryota; Metazoa; Chordata; Aves; Charadriiformes; Scolopacidae. The record is from RNAcentral.